This 430-nucleotide unclassified non-coding RNA is filed under the name Hevea brasiliensis (rubber tree). Lineage: Eukaryota; Viridiplantae; Streptophyta; Magnoliopsida; Malpighiales; Euphorbiaceae. The record is from RNAcentral.
UAAAGUGACGACUCCUCACUUUUCUCACUUCGGUAAGAGCUCAUCCAGGUGACCGCAAAAACUCUUGCGACAAAGCAAUUAAGAAUGCGUUAUCUGAGAUAUUGCAAACUUCCUGCAUUUAAUUAAUACUUGUAUACUGACUGCAAGAAACCUGAACGUUCAUUUUUCCUUUCAGCGCAUAGUACUGAUGAAACUAUUCUACUAUAAUGAUGUAACGGUAUGUCAGUUAACUAAAUUCUAAAAAUUAGUUUCUAUACAUUUGUACGCAAGUGAUUGCUCUUUAUGAUUUAGAACAUAAAAAUUUCCUAAUUUUUCUAAAUUAAGGAUAGGCCUUUUAUGAGGAUGUCUUUUUCUUCCAUCUAGUAUCUACUAUAACUUUGGUAGUUUCGGACAGCUAGAAUGGUUGGAUAUUGAGCUGCCUUUACGCUUG